UCUGUCAGGGACCUCCAGGAAUAGGAAGCGGCGUGGCCGUGAAGGGUGAAAAGGGCUCCCCUGGUAUUCCAGGAGCUGCAGGUGUCCUGGGACCUAGAGGGCCAGCAGGACCACAGGGCAGUAAAGGGGAUAAGGGCGACGAUGGCACUGGACUGCCUGGACCUCAGGGAAAGCAAGGAGAGCCCGGUGACAGGGGCCCCCGUGGACCUGCAGGCGAGAUUGGCAGCAAGGGCGACAGAGGACAGCCAGGUGAACCUGGGACACGAGGAGACAGAGGGGAGCGAGGGCCUGUUGGGGAGACUGGAGAGAAAGGUGAUCAAGGAAAGGCAGGGAUCCCAGGAACACCAGGCCUGAGAGGUUUACCGGGACCAAGUGGACCAGCAGGAGAAAAGGUGAGAGAGAAAGCUUCU
Long non-coding RNA from Cyprinodon variegatus (sheepshead minnow), 410 nucleotides. RefSeq lists it as uncharacterized. The record is from RefSeq and is a predicted model, not a curated record. The transcript is spliced from 8 exons. NCBI's taxonomy places the organism in Eukaryota, Metazoa, Chordata, Actinopteri, Cyprinodontiformes, Cyprinodontidae.